RNAcentral lists this ribosomal RNA (504 nucleotides) under uncultured bacterium. RNAcentral describes it as "partial 16S ribosomal RNA". It matches the Rfam family "Bacterial small subunit ribosomal RNA", at positions 28 to 523 of the family's 1533-position model. The record is from RNAcentral.
GACGAACGCUGGCGGCAGGCCUAACACAUGCAAGUCGAACGGUAGCACAGAGAGCUUGCUCUCGGGUGACGAGUGGCGGACGGGUGAGUAAUGUCUGGGAAACUGCCCGAUGGAGGGGGAUAACUACUGGAAACGGUAGCUAAUACCGCAUAACGUCGCAAGACCAAAGUGGGGGACCUUCGGGCCUCACACCAUCGGAUGUGCCCAGAUGGGAUUAGCUAGUAGGUGGGGUAAUGGCUCACCUAGGCGACGAUCCCUAGCUGGUCUGAGAGGAUGACCAGCCACACUGGAACUGAGACACGGUCCAGACUCCUACGGGAGGCAGCAGUGGGGAAUAUUGCACAAUGGGCGCAAGCCUGAUGCAGCCAUGCCGCGUGUAUGAAGAAGGCCUUCGGGUUGUAAAGUACUUUCAGCGGGGAGGAAGGCGGUGAAGUUAAUAACUUCACCGAUUGACGUUACCCGCAGAAGAAGCACCGGCUAACUCCGUGCCAGCAGCCGCGGUAA